Molecule: long non-coding RNA, 1687 nt
Filed under: Homo sapiens (human)
Lineage: Eukaryota; Metazoa; Chordata; Mammalia; Primates; Hominidae
Description: long non-coding RNA NONHSAT198596.1
Source: RNAcentral
GCAGGUGGAACAAUCGUGCGGUCAGCUCCACCUGCCACAACCCUUCCUGAAAGAUCCAGGCCCACAGAAAAGCCAGGAUCCUGUCUUUAAAGACUGCUCUGCUCUCCCACCUCAUCCUGUGUCCAAUAACCGCACCUUCCAACAGCGUUUCUAACCCUGUUCUCUCCAAGCGUGGCCUGCAGCACCUCUCCAGGCCUCUGGUGAAGUAACUGACUGGACAUCCCAAAGUUAGGUGGUCCUGAGAGCCAGGUGCUGACAGCUGCCUCACCUUAAGAGUCUCCUUUCGUUAUGGCAUCUGGAAAGAUCUCACAUGGCAGGCCUGCUUCUAGUUCCUUGUUCCUAGUGUGUCUGAGGAAAUCCAAUCUCUCCCACUCCAGCCCGCCUACUCAUUGAACAUGGCUGCUAUCUCUGUCUUCUGGAAACACGGCUCCAAUCCUGCAACAACUCUAUACAAGAGCUCCCAGGGGUUCUUAACCUUGGCUGAGCAACAGACCCAUUUGGGAAGAUUUUUAAAAAUCUAGCUUAUGAGAUACCUCAGAUCAAUCAAUCCCUGGCAGUGGGUCUGCUAAACAUCAGAUACAGACAAACAACUGCAUAGAUCUCCAACUAGAUUGAAGAACAGGACCCUCCAGAGAGCUUCCAAGAAGACACCAACCUAGGCAUGGGUUUAUGUUCCUGACAAAGAAUAAGGAUUGUUAUGAAGAAUGUUCUAUUUUGAAUUGUGAAAAUAAUUAUUUAAAGCUGUACAAUGAAAGCUUUCACUAGACCUUGAUGGCACUAUGGUCAUUAUCUUGUCAAAACUGUGGUGGAUUUGAAGAGCUAGUGAUGAAGAAUGGAGGUUUCCUGUCCUAGAAAUAACCAAAGGCCCAGGCUUGGAGGUGGCAGAAAAAGUGGCACUUAAGGUUAAAUUUCCUGGAUAAAAUCAGAUCAGCCGUGUAAUCACCCUGCUACAAUAAAAGGAGCUCAGUGUGCUUUAUGGCAACCACACCAGUCAAGGGCUCUCUCUGGCACCAAGGGAGCCAUAAGGGCCCCCUGCCAAGUGGAGCUGAGGGAUGCUCGAGGCCAGGGUCUGGACCUUCUCACUAUAAAAAGAAUAGUGAAGUAUACAGAUAUUUACCUACUGAGUUAUGUUUGGGCUGAUAAAAAUGCUCAGAUGUCCAAUCCCAUUACUGGGUAUAAACCCAGAGGAAUAUAAUUCAUUCUACUAUAAAGACAUAUGCACGCAAAUGUUCUUUGCAGCAGUAUUCACAAUAGCAAAGAUAUGGAAUCAAACUAAAUGCCCAUCAAUGACAGUCUGGGUAAUGAAAAUGUGGUAUAGAUAUACCAUGGAAUACUAUGCAGCCAUAAAAAAGAACAAGAUCAUGUCUUUCACAGGAACAUGGACGGAGCUGGAGGCUACUAUCCUUAGCAAACUAAUGCAGGAACAGAAAACCAAAUGCUGCAUAUCUAAGUGGGAGCUGAAUGGUACUAGCCCAGUAUUUGGAAUUUGCCAAAGCUAUAUUCCUCAGAAUUUACUUCAAGAGCUCCUUUGUAUCGGCGGAGAAUGAAGAACGGAGAAGAGGAGGAGGAGGUUGAAAGAAACUUAAGAGAUGUGGCAACUAAUUGCAACGUGUAGAUUGUAUUUAGCUCAUGAUUCACACAAACUAGAUAUUUGUUAUUAAAGAAUUAUGGUUGUUUUUGGUGUGAU